AACUCCCCGGACUUCCUCUGCUUGUGUGGGAAGGGGAGUCCUGAACUCAGACAUGUAAUUUUUUGUAGCAAAAAUAAAAGGAAAGGGUCUCUCUAAGGUCCCUUGUGAUUGGGACUUAUCUAUUUAUACCUCCAUUUCAUCCAAAAAGAGUAUGAGGAACUGGUUGUCUCCCUUCACGACUUCCAUUUCUUUGGACUUUGUACAAAG
Long non-coding RNA from Peromyscus eremicus (cactus mouse), 207 nucleotides. RefSeq lists it as uncharacterized. The transcript is spliced from 2 exons. The record is from RefSeq and is a predicted model, not a curated record. Lineage: Eukaryota; Metazoa; Chordata; Mammalia; Rodentia; Cricetidae.